RNAcentral lists this ribosomal RNA (492 nucleotides) under uncultured bacterium. Its description in RNAcentral is "partial 16S ribosomal RNA". It matches the Rfam family "Bacterial small subunit ribosomal RNA", at positions 29 to 507 of the family's 1533-position model. The record is from RNAcentral.
AGUGAACGCUGGCGGUAGGCCUAACACAUGCAAGUCGAACGGCAGCACAGUAAGAGCUUGCUCUUACGGGUGGCGAGUGGCGGACGGGUGAGGAAUACAUCGGAAUCUACUUUUUCGUGGGGGAUAACGUAGGGAAACUUACGCUAAUACCGCAUACGACCUACGGGUGAAAGCAGGGGAUCUUCGGACCUUGCGCGAUUGAAUGAGCCGAUGUCGGAUUAGCUAGUUGGCGGGGUAAAGGCCCACCAAGGCGACGAUCCGUAGCUGGUCUGAGAGGAUGAUCAGCCACACUGGAACUGAGACACGGUCCAGACUCCUACGGGAGGCAGCAGUGGGGAAUAUUGGACAAUGGGCGCAAGCCUGACCCAGCCAUACUGCGUGGGUGAAGAAGGCCUUCGGGUUGUAAAGCCCUUUUGUUGGGAAAGAAAAGCAGCAGGUUAAUACCCCGCUGUUCUGACGGUACCCAAAGAAUAAGCACCGGCUAACUUCGUG